This 253-nucleotide ribosomal RNA is filed under the name uncultured bacterium. RNAcentral describes it as "partial 16S ribosomal RNA". It matches the Rfam family "Bacterial small subunit ribosomal RNA", at positions 524 to 776 of the family's 1533-position model. The record is from RNAcentral.
UACGUAGGGGGCAAGCGUUGUCCGGAAUCAUUGGGCGUAAAGAGCGUGUAGGCGGCCCGAUAAGUCCGCUCUGAAAGUCCAGGGCUCAACCCUGGAAAGCGGGUGGAUACUGCCGGGCUAGAAUCCGGAAGAGGCGAGUGGAAUUCCUGGUGUAGCGGUGGAAUGCGCAGAUAUCAGGAGGAACACCAAUAGCGAAGGCAGCUCGCUGGGACGGUAUUGACGCUAAGGCGCGAAAGCGUGGGGAGCAAACAGG